UUUUCCGAGGAGCGCUGCGACAGGAGCAUAGCGAUCCUGCCAGGCUCGGGGAGGUGAACCGACUGAUAACGGCGCUCACUCUGC
Molecule: non-coding RNA, 84 nt
Filed under: Thiohalocapsa sp. PB-PSB1
Lineage: Bacteria; Pseudomonadati; Pseudomonadota; Gammaproteobacteria; Chromatiales; Chromatiaceae
Also listed under: 1 other name
Description: uncultured Thiohalocapsa sp. PB-PSB1 SAH (S-adenosyl-L-homocysteine) riboswitch aptamer
Rfam family: SAH (S-adenosyl-L-homocysteine) riboswitch aptamer
Source: Rfam by way of RNAcentral